UACCUACGGGAGGCAGCAGUGAGGAAUAUUGGUCAAUGGGCGGAAGCCUGAACCAGCCAAGUCGCGUGAGGGAAUAAGGCCCUACGGGUCGUAAACCUCUUCUGCCGGGGAGCAAGGGCCGGGACGAGUCCCGGUCCGGAGAGUACCCGGAGAAAAAGCAUCGGCUAACUCCGUGCCAGCAGCCGCGGUAAUACGUAGGUGGCAAGCGUUAUCCGGAUUUACUGGGUGUAAAGGGCGUGUAGGCGGGAAAGCAAGUCAGAUGUGAAAACCACGGGCUCAACCUGUGGCCUGCAUUUGAAACUGUU
This 305-nucleotide ribosomal RNA is filed under the name uncultured bacterium. Its description in RNAcentral is "bacterial SSU rRNA". It matches the Rfam family "Bacterial small subunit ribosomal RNA", at positions 335 to 637 of the family's 1533-position model. The record is from RNAcentral.